GUAGUUAUAGUUUAACAAAAACAUUAGAUUGUGAAUCUAACAAUAGAAGCUUACAACUUCUUACCUACC
This 69-nucleotide transfer RNA is filed under the name Alouatta belzebul (black-and-red howler monkey). RNAcentral describes it as "tRNA-His". It matches the Rfam family "tRNA". Rfam says of the family: Transfer RNA (tRNA) molecules are approximately 80 nucleotides in length. Lineage: Eukaryota; Metazoa; Chordata; Mammalia; Primates; Atelidae. RNAcentral also lists the same sequence under 2 other names. The record is from RNAcentral.